UUGGCUUAGAAGCAGCCAUACAUUUAAAGAGUGCGUAAUAGCUCACUAGUCGAGAAAACCUGCGCCGAAAAUGUAACGGGGCUAAAACACGACACCGAAGCUACGGAUUCCUUACAAAGUAAGGAGUGGUAGAGGAGCAUCCUGCAAGGACGAAGCCAAAGUGAGAGCGAUGGUGGACGAAACAGGAGAGAGAAUGCCGGAAUGAGUAGCGAGAUACAUGUGAGAAACAUGUAGGCCGAAUAUCUAAGGAUUCCUGGGUAAAGCUAAUCUUCCCAGGGUUAGUCGGGGCCUAAGGCGAGGACGAAAGUCGUAGUCGAUGGAUAACAGGUUGAUAUUCCUGUACUACACAUAAUCAGAACUGUGGGGACGCAGGAGGAUAGGGAAACCGGGGAAUGGAAAGACCCGGUCAAGCGUAAAGCUGUGGGAGAUAGGCAAAUCCGUCUCCUGUAAGUGAAACGUGAUGAGGACUGAAAAAAAGUAAGGAAGUUUCCGAAUCCACACUGCCGAGAAAAGCCGCUAUUGCGUUAUGUGUACCCGUACCGUAAACCGACACAGGUAGAUGAGGAGAAAAUCCACAGGCCGACGGGAGAAGUGUUGUUAAGGAACUCGGCAAAAUGACCCCGUAACUUCGGGAUAAGGGGAGCCUCGCAAGAGGCCGCAGAAAAGAGGCACAAGCAACUGUUUAGCAAAAACAUAGGUCUAUGCGAAACCGUAAGGUGAAGUAUAUGGGCUGACGCCUGCCCGGUGCUGGAAGGUUAAGAGGAGAGGUUAGCGCAAGCGAAGCUUUGAAUUCAAGCCCCAGUAAACGGCGGCCGUAACUAUAACGGUCCUAAGGUAGCGAAAUUCCUUGUCAGGUAAGUUCUGACCCGCACGAAAGGCGUAAUGAUUUGUGCACUGUCUCGACAACACGCCCGGUGAAAUUGAAGAACCAGUGAAGAUACUGGUUACCCGCAACAGGACGGAAAGACCCCAUGGAGCUUUACUGCAGCCUGAUACUGGGAUUCGAUGAUAUAUGUACAGGAUAGGUGGGAGGCUAAGAAGCGAGAACGCUAGUUUUCGUGGAGCCGCCGGUGGGAUACCACUCUUAUGUCAUUGAAUUUCUAACCUGCAUCCGUAAUCCGGGUGAGGGACAAUGUCAGGCGGGCAGUUUGACUGGGGCGGUCGCCUCCUAAAAGGUAACGGAGGCGCUCGAAGGUCACCUCAGAAUGAUUGGAAACCAUUCAAAGAGUGUAAAGGCAAAAGGUGGCUUGACUGCGACACCGACGGGUGGAGCAGGUACGAAAGUAGGACUUAGUGAUCC
RNAcentral lists this ribosomal RNA (1300 nucleotides) under metagenome. RNAcentral's name for it is "bacterial LSU rRNA". It matches the Rfam family "Bacterial large subunit ribosomal RNA", at positions 1101 to 2421 of the family's 2925-position model. The record is from RNAcentral.